UAGGGCGUUUGAACGACAUAUUCCACUUACCCGCAAUUGUUAGCUAUGCACUUCCGUUGUGCCUUGUGUAUUUCCUGUCAAGGUUGGUAGGAGGAAAAGCAGCAGGCAACAGAGACGUGUAUUUAUAGAGUUGGAAGAAGGCAUUUCAUCAUGAAGAAACAGGACACGGAAGAGUCGGCCACGCAGGGCAGUGACGCGGCUCCACCACCUGGCACUGGAGAGAUGGAGGGAAGCACAGCGGCAAAAGACGUUACAGAUACUGUCAGCCCUAACGACGUUACAGAUACUGUCAGCCCUAACGACGUUACAGAUACUGUCAGCCCUAACGAGCCAGACAGACCUUCACAGAUUGAUGGGGCUGAAAGUUCAGGUAACGUGAGCACUGUGUCCUCGGUGACACUGGUUGUCACAGAUGUGAUGGAACUAGUAACACUAGUCAAAUAAACCCAUUUUCAAUGUUUCUUUUGACAGGGUUGGCUAUUUGUCACUAUAGUUUUGAGUAGCUAUCACAUCUUUCAGCCACAACGUGUCAAGUUUUGCAGUAUUAAAAUAAUGAACGUAACUCCACGUCUAUUGCGCUAGGAACCUUCAACAACGCUCGUGACACUGAAUUCCUGUUUACACUUUAGGGUUGGAUAUUUUCACGCUAUUGUUAUGAAUGUUCCAUCUGGAGAAUAAAUCACUCUUCUGAUUGAAAAUUCAAGCCUGAUGCUAGCUGAUCCUGAUGAGCCAUACAUUAAAUACAUUUUUAUCAGCCCUACAUUAGACAAUUCAUGAGCCCAAGCCCCCCCCAAAAAAAACAAAUGAUUGUGCCGUUAUCCAACACAGAAAAACAUAAAAGCCCAUAGAUGUGGCUAGCUCUUAGCUCUCUUGGCUAAAUAAAUGAAACUAGCUUCGGUAGGUUCAUCGUUUUGGGUGUGAACUGUAUUGUUGGGACUGGAAUUACGCACAUCCUUCAAACUGUGAUAAAGAAGGGAGAGAACUUGAUUCUGGUGCAGCACAUGCGUCCUACAAAAGUUAUUUACUUGAACCUUUAUUUGACUAGGCGACUCGGGUAAAGAACAAAUUCUUAUUUUCAACCCGGCCUGGUACCUGGUUCGAAUCCAGGCUGCACCACAUCCAGCUGUGAUUGGGAGUCCUGUAGGGCAGUGCACAAUCGGCCCAGCUUCGUCCGGGUUUGGCCGGGGGUAGGCCAUCGUUGUAAAUAAAUAUUUGUUCUUAACUGACUUGCCUAGUUAAAUAAAGGUUCUUGUGUUGUUUUUUUAAAUCUCCUAACCCAGCUGACGCUGAGACAAUUUCUGCGCCACCCAAAGUUACAAGUAUAGGCUAGUGAAUUUGUUUUUCAUUUGAAGUAUAAAUGGGCCUAUUUGUAUAAUUAGGCUGACUCGUGUGUGGUAUGUGUAUAUAUAUCUUUCAUAACAGUUCCCCUGUUAUUAGCCUACCUCUAUGUAUUGUUGCUUCCUUCCUCACUUUCAAAUGUUAAAUGAAAGUGUUUCAUUGUCCUUACCUUCGUCAUUCUAAUGACAUCCUUGAAUAAUAUAGGACUAGAAUUAGAUGCACUUCUCUUCACAAAUGGUUAUGGGUCUGAAUUAAUAACUGCUAUAGCCUACCGCCAUCUGAAUGGUUAUGGGUCUGAAUAAAUAACUGCUAUAGCCUACCACCAUCUGAAUGGUUAUGGGUCUGAAUUAAUAACUGCUAUAGCCUACCACCAUCUGAAUGGUUAUGGGUCUGAAUUAAUAACUGCUAUAGCCUACCACCAUCUGAAUGGUUAUGGGUCUGAAUUAAUAACUGCUAUAGUCUACCACCAUCUGAAUGGUUAUGGGUCUGAAUUAAUA
Long non-coding RNA from Oncorhynchus keta (chum salmon), 1835 nucleotides. RefSeq lists it as uncharacterized. The record is from RefSeq and is a predicted model, not a curated record. Lineage: Eukaryota; Metazoa; Chordata; Actinopteri; Salmoniformes; Salmonidae. The transcript is spliced from 3 exons.